This 301-nucleotide ribosomal RNA is filed under the name uncultured bacterium. RNAcentral describes it as "partial 16S ribosomal RNA". It matches the Rfam family "Bacterial small subunit ribosomal RNA", at positions 509 to 807 of the family's 1533-position model. The record is from RNAcentral.
CAGUAGCCACGGGAAUACGAAGGGGGCUAGCGUUGUUCGGAAUUACUGGGCGUAAAGCGCACGUAGGCGGAUAUUUAAGUCAGGGGUGAAAUCCCGAGGCUCAACCUCGGAACUGCCUUUGAUACUGGAGAUCUUGAGUUCGGAAGAGGUUGGUGGAACAGCUAGUGUAGAGGUGAAAUUCGUAGAUAUUAGCUAGAACACCAGUGGCGAAGGCGGCCAACUGGUCCGAUACUGACGCUGAGGUGCGAAAGCGUGGGGAGCAAACAGGAUUAGAUACCCCCGUAGUCCCUGUCUCUUAUAC